Molecule: ribosomal RNA, 119 nt
Filed under: Gossypium arboreum
Lineage: Eukaryota; Viridiplantae; Streptophyta; Magnoliopsida; Malvales; Malvaceae
Source: RNAcentral
AGGUGCGAUCAUACCUGCACUAAUGCGCUGGAUCCCAUCAGAAUUUCGCAGUGAGGCGUGCUUGGGCGAGAGUAGUACAAGGAUAGGUGACCUACUUGGAAGUGCUCGUGUUGCACCCA